Long non-coding RNA from Oncorhynchus tshawytscha (Chinook salmon), 951 nucleotides. NCBI's taxonomy places the organism in Eukaryota, Metazoa, Chordata, Actinopteri, Salmoniformes, Salmonidae. The record is from Ensembl.
UGCUUCUUGUGGUGUCUGUCUCAAUUUUUUUUUCUUGCUCUUGUUUUAACACAGAUGGCCUCAGAUGUAGCCAGUUGCCCUUCCCAUAUGGACCCUGUUCCCCGAGGGGGUUGAGGAAGGAGAUUAGUUAUUUACUUAAGAAAUAGUUAUUCUUACUGCUUUCCCUGGCUUGUCGCUGUCUCAGUGCAGUUGUCCUUUGUGGCUAAUGGUUAGCCUAUUAUUGUGCCUGUAUGAUAUCUGCAUCAAAACCUUACACUUCUGAAGAAAUUCCAAGAGAACCCUACAAGAAACAACAAAAAAAGGAAGCUAUACUGUUAGCCGCACACUGACGUCGGUUUCCCUGGUGCCGUUCGAUCCGUAUCGGCAGUUGGGCUCAGCUCAACAGCCAGGGUAGCUCGCUGUGUAGCGACUUUAGAAGGGGCAGGACGCAGUUUUACAGCAGAUACGUCCCACAGCCCAGUGUUAACCACCAGAUGAGGCUGAUAAAAACCAAAGUACAGCUCUGACACGGGACACCCACCCUAAUCAUCAGGGGUGUGGUGGAACAGCCUCAAUUUGUCGGGGCAUGGACUCCACAAGGUGUUGAAAGUGUUCUACAGGGAUUCUGGCCCACGUUGAUUCCAAUGCUUCCUACAGUUGUGUCAAGUUGGCUGGAUAUCCUUUGGGUAGGGGACCGUUCAGCAUGAAAAACCCAGCAGCGUUGCAGUUCUUGACGCACUCAAACCAUUUCGCCUGGCACCUACUACCAUACCCCAUUCAAAGGCACUUCAAUAUUUUUUUGUCCCCAUUCACUCUUUGAAUGGCACACCUAAUUCAUGUCUCAAUUGUCUUGACGAUUGUCUCGAUUUAACUGAGGAAACACUGACAGACCAUCCAUACUACAGCCUACAGAUAAAGGAAGUGUCCAUGCACAACAUUACUGUCUGAUAGGGCUCCUGGAAUGUUUGGGUG